This is a long non-coding RNA of Trematomus bernacchii (emerald rockcod), 233 nucleotides long. RefSeq lists it as uncharacterized. The transcript is spliced from 3 exons. Lineage: Eukaryota; Metazoa; Chordata; Actinopteri; Perciformes; Nototheniidae. The record is from RefSeq and is a predicted model, not a curated record.
CUAACUUUAGUUUGCUUACGAGACGACCCUUCAAUCAUGUUGGCUAUACUUUAUUAUCCGUGAUAGAAGAGGAGUUUGGGAACUUUUGAGAACAACAACAGACUGCCCCAUUCUACACUGAAUGUCAUCACUGCUGUCGGCUAGGUCGAGAAUAAUUUCUGAAGGACAAGGCCUGCAGCGUGGUGACAACUGUAAGCUGCUGUAAGAGCUGGAGGAUCAAAUGAAGACUGCAG